Triticum urartu is the source of this 135-nucleotide non-coding RNA. Lineage: Eukaryota; Viridiplantae; Streptophyta; Magnoliopsida; Poales; Poaceae. The record is from Rfam.
GGACUACUCCCUCCGUUCCAAAUUAGUUGACUUGAAUUUGUCUAAAUACGGAUGUAUCUAUAAUUGUUUAGUGUCUAGAUACAUCCGUGUGUAGAUAAAUAUAGGUCAAGUAAUUUGGAACGGAGGGAGUACGAG